Molecule: ribosomal RNA, 356 nt
Filed under: uncultured bacterium
Lineage: Bacteria
Description: bacterial SSU rRNA
Rfam family: Bacterial small subunit ribosomal RNA
Source: RNAcentral
AGAGUUUGAUCCUGGCUCAGGAUGAACGCUAGCUACAGGCUUAACACAUGCAAGUCGAGGGGAAACGACAUCGAAAGCUUGCUUUUGAUGGGCGUCGACCGGCGCACGGGUGAGUAACGCGUAUCCAACCUGCCCACCACUUGGGGAUAACCUUGCGAAAGUAAGACUAAAUACCCAAUGACGUCUCUAGAAGACAUCUGAAAGAGAUUAAAGAUUUAUCGGUGAUGGAUGGGGAUGCGUCUGAUUAGCUUGUUGGGCGGGGUAACGGCCCACAAGGCGACGAUCAGUAGGGGGUUCUGGAGAGGAAGGUCCCCCACAUUGGAACUGAGACACGGUCCAAACUCCUACGGGAGGCA